CUCCCGCUCUGGAUCCCUGGGCGCGAGGGUGACUAGUGGGUCCGCCGGCGAGUUCUCGGGGAAGUGCGGUGUUUUUUUUUUACCUGCUCAGAAAAUUUUCUCCACCCAUCUUUGUAAGGGUAAUAUCCCGUCGUCCAGACGCGGACUUGUCUUCUAAUUUGCACUUAGUAAAAGUUUUUUCCUCAGCGUUAUUUCUCCGGGACUGGCGCUAGGAAGGCAAGCUAGGAGACUCUCCGUUUUCCAUUGGUUCUAGAGGUUGUCGUACUAGGCCUUUGUGGUCUCUGAUUGGUCCCUUAAAACGAGACCGCAUUUGCUCCACCGGUCGGCCCCGGCUGUGCUGGGCGGGGAACGCGCUCUCGAACACACUUGGUUAGCCCAUUUUACAGCAUCUGAGUUUUGAGCUCUAAGGGCGGGGUGACCCGUCUGGAAUCGCACUGCAAGCUCACAGCCCUGCUGGUUUCCCUCGUGUCUCGGACGUAGCCAUCAUCAGCCUUCACCCGCCUCCCUGCACGUUUCCCUCUUUGUGGUCUCGUGAAGAGCACUGACAUUUGGAGUCACCUAGAGGUUGCUAUGUACAUGGCAAUCCCACGUUCGCCGUAGGUGUUCACAAAGGUAGCACGGUCCAGGCCUCUGGCCCAAGAAAACUGAGCAGGACUUGGCAGCCCUCUUACAGAGAGCCAGUGGCUACACUUAACAAAAAAAACUAAGUAACAUUGGCUACAGAAGAGGAAACGAUGUCAAAUAUUGUCACUGCAGGGAGUGCUGGGCCAUCAACAUUCUGUGGAGUCUUGCUGCUGAUCUUACUCAUCUCUAUGGAUAUUUUGGAAGAACAACUCAAAGAAAUUAAUGCUCAACAUGAGAGCUCAUUUCCUUGGACAACUACAAUUGUGGCACAUAAAGAUCACUGCUCAUUCUAAAAUUGUGGAGGUUUCUGUAGGCUAAGAAUUGAUUCUUGGUGCAGAAGAUGUGGCUUUCUUGCCACCUGGUGGCUGUCAGUGUUAUUACAGUGGUAGAUUAAUGCCUUCAGCUUCCUGGUGCAUGUAUCUAUGAAGAUCAGAGAUAGAAGACCAUUGAAUAUCGCCAAAUCCAAAUCUUUGAAUUGCCAAGCCCUUCCUCACCCAGAGAUUUUAUGGCCCUUACUUGAACACCUAACCAGGCAGCUAAGUCCAUUCUUGGAUAUCUCUAACUGCUGCUGUGCACAGAAGCAGAUGUGGACCAGUAAUAAGCCUGUGAUGAAGGACUCUGGGCAGAGAAAGUGCUGAGUACCCCAUCACUGAAGGGAGUAAUAAUACCAUUUGGUUGAGAUAUUGAAGAAAUGAGUGAAUAGAUGGUGAUAAUGAUGGUGAUGAUGAAGAUGAUGAUGACGAUGACAUCCUGUCUACCUGCGUUCCUUGUCACAUGCUCUGGUUUACACACCAGGCUCCGGUAAACUUUGUCGGUACGGGGCAGCAUCUCUGCACCUAAUGUACCCUGGCGCCCUCAACAAGAUCUCACCAGUUUAAACUCAGAAUUAAGGCCUUGGUGAACUCACCUGGGUUCUAUAAUCUUCUCUACCUACACUUGCUCUCUGACUGUGGCUUCAAAUACUACUUAUAUGCUAAUGAUUCCCAGGUUCAUAUCUCUAGUUAUGACCUUUCUGUUGAGUUCCAGACUCUUCAUCUAUCCUAUUGAUUCACUCUUCAAAACAUAUUCUAAAUCUUUCUCCAUCUCCAGUAUUAGAGUUCAUCUUUCCUGCUGCCCUCCAACUUCUUUUUUGAGCAUUUAGCUUAUUUGUAUUAAAUCUUUCUGGUUUUACGAGAAAUACUUUUUAAACUAUACGUUUUCCCUCCAGGUAUUGCUUUAGCCUGUUCUUCCAAAUUUUGACAUGUAGUACUUUGUUGCUUAGUUCUUAUAAUCUAUUUAUUAAUCCAUAGGUUAUUUAGUAGUUUAUUAUUUAGUUUCCAGAUGUGAGAAUUUGUCAGUUAUCUUUUCUUGAUUUUAUUGCAUAUGGUCAGAGAAGAGAGACUAAUUGAUAUUAAUCUUUUGAAAUUUAUUUUGGUUUAAUUGUCAGUUUUUGUAAAUGUCCCAUGUGUGCUUGAAAAGAAUGUUGACUGAUUGUAGU
Pteropus alecto (black flying fox) is the source of this 2101-nucleotide long non-coding RNA. RefSeq lists it as uncharacterized. NCBI's taxonomy places the organism in Eukaryota, Metazoa, Chordata, Mammalia, Chiroptera, Pteropodidae. The transcript is spliced from 5 exons. The record is from RefSeq and is a predicted model, not a curated record.